UUGCGGGAUGUCCUCCUGUUCCGGGUCACCUUGUAAAAAGUUGCACGUCAUGCGCGUUUUGACGGCAGGGCGCCGGCGGGGCGUCUGAGCGAGGGGAGAGAACUUGCGUCCAGUACUGCGCUCGGAGCCAACCAGCCGGGCCCGCCACUCGCUUUCGGGGCCCUCCGCCAGGCGGAGGAGCCCCAACACCAGCGCGCAACGGGGCGCGUGAGGGGGGAAAUGACGCUCGGACAGGCAUGCCCGCCAGAAUACUGGCGGGCGCAAUGUGCGUUCAAAGAUUCGAUGGUUCGCUGAAUUCUGCAAUUCACAUUACGUAUCGCAUUUCGCUGCGUUCUUCAUCGAUGCCAGAGCCAAGAGAUCCGUUGUUGAAAGUUUUGAUUAUUUGUUUUUAAUCCUCAGACUGUUUCUAGUGGUUGAGAUAUAAAGGUUCGUAGGGCCCGCCGCCCCCGGCGGGCGGGGCGGCGGGCCCUACGAACCUUUAUAUCUCAACCACUAGAAACAGUCUGAGGAUUAAAAACAAAUAAUCAAAACUUUCAACAUCGGAUCUCUUGGCUCUGGCAUCGAUGAAGACCGCAGCGAAAUGCGAUACGUAUUGUGAAUUGCAGAAUUCAGCGAACCAUCGAAUCUUUGAACGCACAUUGCGCCCGCCAGUAUUCUGGCGGGCAUGCCUGUCCGAGCGUCAUUUCCCCCCUCACCCGCCCCGUUGCGC
Molecule: unclassified non-coding RNA, 709 nt
Filed under: Sporothrix mexicana
Lineage: Eukaryota; Fungi; Ascomycota; Sordariomycetes; Ophiostomatales; Ophiostomataceae
Description: sequence contains ITS1, 5.8S rRNA gene and ITS2
Rfam family: 5.8S ribosomal RNA (bases 529-682)
Source: RNAcentral